This 2628-nucleotide long non-coding RNA is filed under the name Homo sapiens (human). RNAcentral's name for it is "HSALNT0344229". The record is from RNAcentral. Lineage: Eukaryota; Metazoa; Chordata; Mammalia; Primates; Hominidae.
AUCCAUAAAAGCAUGCUGCACCUUUGGCACAGCGCGACUUCCCUGGCCCUCCCCCUGCGGACCAGUGAACCUCGCCCGAGGGCUCAAUAAAGAAGAUUUUUGCCCUCUUUUUCUCACCUCUCAGCCUUAUUGAUCCAUGGUGCCCUUCCAUUGCCUUUCAUUGGUGCCGAAACCCGGGAGGGGACACCUCCUAAGCCCCCCCAGAGGCUCAGGGGGACUCCCCUCCUGGUCGGAUCAGUCCUCUCCCUCAGUCAGGUCAGGCUUCUCCUCCACGGCCAUCUGUCCAUUUCGUCCGGUUACUUGCUGCCAGGUCGCAGUUGCUGCAGCUACUCCAGUCCAAUUCGGCCGACGCUAGGUGAGUACCCCUCCUUUUUCCUUUUGUCCGUUCCUCCCUGGCCGAGAGUCAUGCGCACACCCAGGGAGAGUUUCCUUCUUCAAGGGAAGGCCAGUCCGGGUCACCAGGUGACCCAAGUUUACUUCCCCAGGGGAAGUCCAAAUCGGCACUGACGACUCAGAGACGUCCAUGUCUGAAGUAGCCGAUCCGAGGCUCCAGGAGCCGCGUGGUCUGAGUGACCCCAGAGGGAUGCUUCUGCUGUCCCUCAGACCGCUGCCAUAAGGGGAAGAGGAUGGGGUCCACCCAGUCCAAAAUCACGCAAAACACCCCCUUAGGGUGCCUUCUGCGCAACCUCCCAACUUUACAACUCAAUCAAGAUUUAAAAUGAAAGCGACUAAUUUUCUUCUGCACAGUUGCCUGGCUGCAAUAUACCUUGGACAACCAAUCUCGCUGGCCCCCCAAAGGCACACUCGACUUCAAUAUCCUAAACGACCUUACCAAUUUUUGUCAGAGGCGAGGCAAAUAGUCAAAAAUCAAAUUUGUUCAAAGGUUCUGGGACCUCCGCUCUCGUCGGACCGCUGCCGCCAAGUGUUUUCGCUGGCACAAGUCCCUGUGGCUAGCCUUCCCCUUGAAGUCUGGCCAGCCUCUCUUGCCGUUAAUCCUGUCCGGGGCCCCCAUCUUAGUCUCUCUGCCGCCAUCUCCUUCUGCACUGCCGCCAUCUUACUACCUGCUUCCUCACUGCCGCCAUCUUACUUCCUUUUUUCUCUGCUGCCAUUUUAGUUCUUCUGCCACCAUUCGGCUGCCAUUUUAAUUCCCAUUAGUUCCCAUUUGUUCUUUUAACCCUGCCCAGCUAACUCCUUGGCUUCCAUCUUACCCGCAUUCUUAUUUCCACCUGCCUAUAGUGCCAUACCAGUCCACUGCAUCUACAACUCCUAACACAUUCGCUGCGGGCAGUGAUAUCCACUAAUCCUGGAUGAGGCAGCGGAGGGCCCCCAAACCCCUAUCCAGGACUUAGUAAAGCUGGCGUUCAAAGUUUUUAAUUCCUGAGAGGAGGCGGCUGAGGUACAACGACAGGCAAGCCUGAAACAAAAAGUUCAGCUCCAAACCCAAGCCCUGGCAGCUGCCCUGCAACCGGCAUUCCCUAAGAGCCGCGGCAGGAGAGGUAGAGGUACAAUCUCCCGGGCCCCGUCUGGCGUCUGCUUCAAGUGAGGCAACUCAGGACACUGGGCCAGCCGGUGCCCUAGCCAACAGCAACCGUCCUGCCCGCCUUGCAACUGUUUCAAGUGUGGCAAUCCAGGUCAUUGGGCAAAACAGUGCCCAAACCCCAAGCCGCCAACACACCCGUGCCCUAACUGCCAACAAAUGGAGCACUGGAGGUCAGACUGCCCCAGCCUCGGAGCGGCCGCUGUGGCUCCACAUGGCGACCCCUCCCUGGAUGGCGAAGGUGCCCUCUAGCUCCUCCAACUGGAUGACGACUGAAGAGGCCCAGGCUCGGGAACCCCUCUCACCCUUGCCGAGCCCAGGGUAAUGCUUCAGGUAGCGGGUAAGUCCAUUUCCUUUUUGCUAGACACAAGGGCUACCUACUCUGUUUUGCCAUCUUUUAGCAGGCCCAGCCGCCCCUCCUCAAUCUCUGUUAUAAGGAUUGAUGGCACUCCCUCCACCUACCGCCAGACGCCUUCACUGCCCUGCCGCCUAGACCACUAUAUAACUUUCUUGAACCCAUAAUCUACCAUCCUUCCUUCUAUUCCUUACUAAAGCAAAUACAUCGAGUUAUCUUCUUACUUUAGUAAACACUUUCUCAGGUUAGAUUAAAGCCUGCCCUACCACCCAUAAAACAGCAGAGGUAGUAGCUUCAACCCUCAUUGAACAGAUAAUCCCGAGAUUUGGCCUGCUUUUAUCUCCAAAAUAGUCAAACAGGUGACAACCACACUUGGCGUUAACUGGAAGCUACACACUCCAUACCAUCCGCAGUCUUCUGGAAAAGUGGAAUGCGCCAACGGCCUUGUCAAACAACACCUAAUCAAAUUGGCUCUCGAGAAGCGCCAAUCGUGGAGCUCCCUGUGAAUAACCCACCUCUUGGCACGUACCUGCCCUACCUCACCCUGUUAAGGGAGCUGCUAAGAGAACACACCGACCACAGCCUUCCAAAGCCCGGACCACUCAGCCCAGACAGUCCGGCCAUAAUAACCCCAGGAGAUCAGGUACUAGUAAAAGACCUCCAGGCAAGAGGUCUCUCCCCCCAGUGGAAAGGCCCCUAUACGGUAAUUCUUACAACACCGACGGCAGCUAAACUU